Molecule: non-coding RNA, 145 nt
Organism: Gossypium hirsutum (cotton)
Lineage: Eukaryota; Viridiplantae; Streptophyta; Magnoliopsida; Malvales; Malvaceae
Source: Rfam
UGUUAAAAAUUUUAUCCGUUUGUACUAAUAAAAACUAGUAUGGUUGAUGGAAUAACCAAAUAGUGACAUGUGGUGUGCCACGUAUGCCUCAUGUUGAUAUACAAUGAUCAAUUUUUAAGAGUAGAAAUAAAUGAAAUUUGUAAUA